RNAcentral lists this ribosomal RNA (253 nucleotides) under uncultured bacterium. RNAcentral describes it as "partial 16S ribosomal RNA". It matches the Rfam family "Bacterial small subunit ribosomal RNA", at positions 524 to 776 of the family's 1533-position model. The record is from RNAcentral.
GACGAACCGUGCGAACGUUGUUCGGAAUCACUGGGCUUAAAGGGCGCGUAGGCGGGUGCCCAAGUCCGGGGUGAAAUCCUCCAGCUUAACUGGAGAAUUGCCUCGGAUACUGGGCGUCUGGAGUGGGGUAGGGGUGUGCGGAACGCUGGGUGGAGCGGUGAAAUGCGUUGAUAUCCAGCGGAACUCCGGUGGCGAAAGCGGCACACUGGACCCCGUCUGACGCUGAGGCGCGAAAGCCAGGGGAGCGAACGGG